Molecule: ribosomal RNA, 484 nt
Filed under: uncultured bacterium
Lineage: Bacteria
Description: partial 16S ribosomal RNA
Rfam family: Bacterial small subunit ribosomal RNA
Source: RNAcentral
AUUGAACGCUGGCGGCAGGCCUAACACAUGCAAGUCGAGCGGAUGAAGGGAGCUGGCUCCUGGAUUCAGCGGCGGACGGGUGAGUAAUGCCUAGGAAUCUGCCUGGUAGUGGGGGAUAACGUCCGGAAACGGGCGCUAAUACCGCAUACGUCCUGAGGGAGAAAGUGGGGGAUCUUCGGACCUCACGCUAUCAGAUGAGCCUAGGUCGGAUUAGCUAGUUGGUGGGGUAAAGGCCUACCAAGGCGACGAUCCGUAACUGGUCUGAGAGGAUGAUCAGUCACACUGGAACUGAGACACGGUCCAGACUCCUACGGGAGGCAGCAGUGGGGAAUAUUGGACAAUGGGCGAAAGCCUGAUCCAGCCAUGCCGCGUGUGUGAAGAAGGUCUUCGGAUUGUAAAGCACUUUAAGUUGGGAGGAAGGGCAGUAAGUUAAUACCUCGCUGUUUUGACGUUACCAACAGAAUAAGCACCGGCUAACUUCGUG